RNAcentral lists this ribosomal RNA (2911 nucleotides) under Pseudomonas aeruginosa. Its description in RNAcentral is "23S ribosomal RNA". It matches the Rfam family "Bacterial large subunit ribosomal RNA". Lineage: Bacteria; Pseudomonadati; Pseudomonadota; Gammaproteobacteria; Pseudomonadales; Pseudomonadaceae. The record is from RNAcentral.
GUUAUAUGGUCAAGUGAAGAAGCGCAUACGGUGGAUGCCUUGGCAGUCAGAGGCGAUGAAAGACGUGGUAGCCUGCGAAAAGCUUCGGGGAGUCGGCAAACAGACUUUGAUCCGGAGAUCUCUGAAUGGGGGAACCCACCUAGGAUAACCUAGGUAUCUUGUACUGAAUCCAUAGGUGCAAGAGGCGAACCAGGGGAACUGAAACAUCUAAGUACCCUGAGGAAAAGAAAUCAACCGAGAUUCCCUUAGUAGUGGCGAGCGAACGGGGAUUAGCCCUUAAGCUUCAUUGAUUUUAGCGGAACGCUCUGGAAAGUGCGGCCAUAGUGGGUGAUAGCCCCGUACGCGAAAGGAUCUUUGAAGUGAAAUCGAGUAGGACGGAGCACGAGAAACUUUGUCUGAACAUGGGGGACCAUCCUCCAAGGCUAAAUACUACUGACUGACCGAUAGUGAACCAGUACCGUGAGGGAAAGGCGAAAAGAACCCCGGAGAGGGGAGUGAAAUAGAACCUGAAACCGUAUGCGUACAAGCAGUGGGAGCCUACUUGUUAGGUGACUGCGUACCUUUUGUAUAAUGGGUCAGCGACUUAUAUUCAGUGGCAAGCUUAACCGUAUAGGGUAGGCGUAGCGAAAGCGAGUCUUAAUAGGGCGUUUAGUCGCUGGGUAUAGACCCGAAACCGGGCGAUCUAUCCAUGAGCAGGUUGAAGGUUAGGUAACACUGACUGGAGGACCGAACCCACUCCCGUUGAAAAGGUAGGGGAUGACUUGUGGAUCGGAGUGAAAGGCUAAUCAAGCUCGGAGAUAGCUGGUUCUCCUCGAAAGCUAUUUAGGUAGCGCCUCAUGUAUCACUCUGGGGGGUAGAGCACUGUUUCGGCUAGGGGGUCAUCCCGACUUACCAAACCGAUGCAAACUCCGAAUACCCAGAAGUGCCGAGCAUGGGAGACACACGGCGGGUGCUAACGUCCGUCGUGAAAAGGGAAACAACCCAGACCGCCAGCUAAGGUCCCAAAGUUGUGGUUAAGUGGUAAACGAUGUGGGAAGGCUUAGACAGCUAGGAGGUUGGCUUAGAAGCAGCCACCCUUUAAAGAAAGCGUAAUAGCUCACUAGUCGAGUCGGCCUGCGCGGAAGAUGUAACGGGGCUCAAACCACACACCGAAGCUGCGGGUGUCACGUAAGUGACGCGGUAGAGGAGCGUUCUGUAAGCCUGUGAAGGUGAGUUGAGAAGCUUGCUGGAGGUAUCAGAAGUGCGAAUGCUGACAUGAGUAACGACAAUGGGUGUGAAAAACACCCACGCCGAAAGACCAAGGGUUCCUGCGCAACGUUAAUCGACGCAGGGUUAGUCGGUUCCUAAGGCGAGGCUGAAAAGCGUAGUCGAUGGGAAACAGGUUAAUAUUCCUGUACUUCUGGUUACUGCGAUGGAGGGACGGAGAAGGCUAGGCCAGCUUGGCGUUGGUUGUCCAAGUUUAAGGUGGUAGGCUGAAAUCUUAGGUAAAUCCGGGGUUUCAAGGCCGAGAGCUGAUGACGAGUCGUCUUUUAGAUGACGAAGUGGUUGAUGCCAUGCUUCCAAGAAAAGCUUCUAAGCUUCAGGUAACCAGGAACCGUACCCCAAACCGACACAGGUGGUCGGGUAGAGAAUACCAAGGCGCUUGAGAGAACUCGGGUGAAGGAACUAGGCAAAAUGGCACCGUAACUUCGGGAGAAGGUGCGCCGGCUAGGGUGAAGGAUUUACUCCGUAAGCCCUGGCUGGUCGAAGAUACCAGGCCGCUGCGACUGUUUAUUAAAAACACAGCACUCUGCAAACACGAAAGUGGACGUAUAGGGUGUGACGCCUGCCCGGUGCCGGAAGGUUAAUUGAUGGGGUUAGCGCAAGCGAAGCUCUUGAUCGAAGCCCCGGUAAACGGCGGCCGUAACUAUAACGGUCCUAAGGUAGCGAAAUUCCUUGUCGGGUAAGUUCCGACCUGCACGAAUGGCGUAACGAUGGCGGCGCUGUCUCCACCCGAGACUCAGUGAAAUUGAAAUCGCUGUGAAGAUGCAGUGUAUCCGCGGCUAGACGGAAAGACCCCGUGAACCUUUACUGUAGCUUUGCACUGGACUUUGAGCCUGCUUGUGUAGGAUAGGUGGGAGGCUUUGAAGCGUGGACGCCAGUUCGCGUGGAGCCAUCCUUGAAAUACCACCCUGGCAUGCUUGAGGUUCUAACUCUGGUCCGUAAUCCGGAUCGAGGACAGUGUAUGGUGGGCAGUUUGACUGGGGCGGUCUCCUCCUAAAGAGUAACGGAGGAGUACGAAGGUGCGCUCAGACCGGUCGGAAAUCGGUCGCAGAGUAUAAAGGCAAAAGCGCGCUUGACUGCGAGACAGACACGUCGAGCAGGUACGAAAGUAGGUCUUAGUGAUCCGGUGGUUCUGUAUGGAAGGGCCAUCGCUCAACGGAUAAAAGGUACUCCGGGGAUAACAGGCUGAUACCGCCCAAGAGUUCAUAUCGACGGCGGUGUUUGGCACCUCGAUGUCGGCUCAUCACAUCCUGGGGCUGAAGCCGGUCCCAAGGGUAUGGCUGUUCGCCAUUUAAAGUGGUACGCGAGCUGGGUUUAGAACGUCGUGAGACAGUUCGGUCCCUAUCUGCCGUGGACGUUUGAGAUUUGAGAGGGGCUGCUCCUAGUACGAGAGGACCGGAGUGGACGAACCUCUGGUGUUCCGGUUGUCACGCCAGUGGCAUUGCCGGGUAGCUAUGUUCGGAAAAGAUAACCGCUGAAAGCAUCUAAGCGGGAAACUUGCCUCAAGAUGAGAUCUCACUGGGAACUUGAUUCCCCUGAAGGGCCGUCGAAGACUACGACGUUGAUAGGCUGGGUGUGUAAGCGUUGUGAGGCGUUGAGCUAACCAGUACUAAUUGCCCGUGAGGCUUGACCAUAUAACACCCAAACA